UCUCCGUUGGUGAACCAGCGGAGGGAUCAUUAUCGAGUUUAUAACUCCCAAACCCUAUGUGAACUUACCACUUGUUGCUUCGGCGCGCGCUUCGGCGCCGCCGAGGACACUUAAACUCUUUGUUUUUAUAAGCAUUUCUGAGUGGCCGAAAGGCAGAAUACAAAUGAAUCAAAACUUUCAACAACGGAUCUCUUGGUUCUG
RNAcentral lists this unclassified non-coding RNA (201 nucleotides) under plant metagenome. Its description in RNAcentral is "partial contains small subunit ribosomal RNA, internal transcribed spacer 1, and 5.8S ribosomal RNA". The record is from RNAcentral.